CCUACGGGAGGCUGCAGUGGGGAAUAUUGGACAAUGGGGGCAACCCUGAUCCAGCCAUGCCGCGUGUGUGAAGAAGGCCCUCGGGUUGUAAAGCACUUUCAGUGAGGAAGAACGCCUGGUGGUUAAUACCCAUCAGGAAAGACAUCACUCACAGAAGAAGCACCGGCUAACUCCGUGCCAGCAGCCGCGGUAAUAACGAGGGUGCGAGCGUUAAUCGGAAUUACUGGGCGUAAAGCGCGCGUAGGUGGCUUGAUAAGCCGGUUGUGAAAGCCCCGGGCUCAACCUGGGAACGGCAUCCGGAACUGUCAAGCUAGAGUGCAGGAGAGGAAGGUAGAAUUCCCGGUGUAGCGGUGAAAUGCGUAGAGAUCGGGAGGAAUACCAGUGGCGAAGGCGGCCUUCUGGACUGACACUGACACUGAGGUGCGAAAGCGUGGGUAGCAAACAGGAUUAGAUACCCCUGUAGUC
Molecule: ribosomal RNA, 465 nt
Filed under: Vreelandella stevensii
Lineage: Bacteria; Pseudomonadati; Pseudomonadota; Gammaproteobacteria; Oceanospirillales; Halomonadaceae
Description: partial 16S ribosomal RNA
Rfam family: Bacterial small subunit ribosomal RNA
Source: RNAcentral